RNAcentral lists this long non-coding RNA (1557 nucleotides) under Rattus norvegicus (Norway rat). Its description in RNAcentral is "long non-coding RNA NONRATT009795". The record is from RNAcentral. Lineage: Eukaryota; Metazoa; Chordata; Mammalia; Rodentia; Muridae.
CAGAUUUAGGACCUUAAACUGUGGCCUCGCCAUCCUUCCCGUCUUAUUUUCCUGCACCGGAGUGAAUGUCUCCUUGCUGUCCUUGCUUUCUGUCCUGCUGCAGGGCUCUCGCUGAGCUGGUGAAACACAAGCCCAAGGCCACAGAAGAUCAGCUGAAGACGGUGAUGGGUGACUUCGCACAAUUCGUGGACAAGUGUUGCAAGGCUGCCGACAAGGAUAACUGCUUCGCCACUGAGGUAACAAAUGUCUUCUCCAUUUUGAUUUGUGAGCCUUCCAUUUUCUGUGCACUUGGUCAGGUUUAGAGCUCCGGAACUCACAUACUGGUUAAUGUGAUCAAUCCAGAUUUUGUUUGCUACACAACUGUAGUAGAAACCGACUUACGUAGCUCUUAAUUUUUAUCUUCUACCACACUGCUGCAUAUUACAUGGUUAUUAUCACUAUUUGGUUUCAAAUUUGUGACGCAUACGAACAUGGUUGGAAAUACUUGUAAAGCCCAGAAUCGCUAACUCAUUUAAGCCUUGCCCUGAAAUGCUACUUUUUGAACUGAGUUAUUUUAUACACUAAUGGAGAACAUUUACCAUUCAAUGUCUGAAUCAUUUCACAUUCCCUCCGGUGCCCUAACAACAGUUUAUCCUUUUAUUUUGGACACAACAGAUGUCAGAGAGCCUGUUUUAAGAAUUCCAAUGGAACUGUAAUUAAGCAAGGCCAGGCACAUGCAUUUACCAUGUAUCAUCACCGAUGGCUAUGGAAGUGCAAACCCUAAUAGUCCUGCUAAUAUUUUUCUAACAUCCACCAUUUUUUCCUGGUCAGGGGCCAAACCUUGUUGCUAGAAGCAAAGAAGCCUUAGCCUAAACACAUCACAACCAUCUCAGGUAACUAUACUCGGGAAUUUUAAAACACAAUCAUAAUCAUUUUUCCUAAAACGAUCAAGAUCGAUAAGCAUUUGCCAAGAGCCACAUGGAUAAGCGCCAGCCGGCACUCUUAGGUCCUCUCGUAUGGUCGUCAAUUUGGGUUCCAUUUGUAGAUAAGAAACUGAACACAUAAAGGUCUAGGUUAAUGUACUUUACACAAGAGGCAACCAAACCAGGGAGAGAAGACACCAAAAUUAAAAAUUCAAAAGAGCCACAGAGUUGAUCGUGGUUUUGCUCUGGCUUACAGCAACCACUAUGUAGAGUCGCCCAUGUUAGCCCAACCUAGAGUAUCCUCUGAAUGAAGCUGAAACCAGAUGAAUGAACAUUUUUGGGUCAAAACAUUUGUGUAUCAAUGAUUCCAUGUAGUUUGACCCAAUAGUUCUGUGAACUCAUUUCACCAGAAGAUACAGUGGGUUCUGUUUCAUAAGUGAUCUGCUUUCAAAUUUCUGAUGUGCCACAUGCUAAACUUUAACAGAAUUUAUCUUCUUAUGACAAAGCAGCCUCCUUUGAACAUAUAGAUGGCUACAUGGCUAUGUUGACCAAUUCUGUUUGGAGUCUUUUGGAAGAGAAUUUUAAGAAUUGGGUGAUAAUGGAAGACUUUGGUAAAAAAUUGUGUCUCCAUAUGAAAACAAAAACUUACUUUUUA